UGCAGCCGUGUCAAAUUCGGGGUCCGCCUUGCAUGGCAGGCACCGGCCCAGGAGGCUGCCACAGAAACACUGUGACUCAUGGGCCUUGCGCCCCUUGUCGGAUGCAGGGAUAAAUUCAGUCACAGACAGCU
Molecule: small nucleolar RNA, 131 nt
Organism: Cavia aperea (Brazilian guinea pig)
Lineage: Eukaryota; Metazoa; Chordata; Mammalia; Rodentia; Caviidae
Product: small nucleolar RNA, H/ACA box 5A
Source: Ensembl